Molecule: ribosomal RNA, 117 nt
Filed under: Xenopus tropicalis (tropical clawed frog)
Lineage: Eukaryota; Metazoa; Chordata; Amphibia; Anura; Pipidae
Source: RNAcentral
GCCUACGGCCAUACACCCUGAAAGCGCCCGAUCUCGUCUGAUCUCGGCAAGCUAAGCAGGGACGGGCUUGGUUAGUACCUGGAUGGGACCGCCUGGGAAUACCAGGUGUUGUAGGCU